GUGUCAGCAGCCGCGGUAAUACGUAGGGGGCAAGCGUUGUCCGGAUUUAUUGGGCGUAAAGAGCGUGUAGGCGGUUUGGUAGGUCCGCUGUGAAAACUCGAGGCUCAACCUCGAGACGCCGGUGGAAACCAUCAGACUAGAGUCCGGAAGAGGAGAGUGGAAUUCCUGGUGUAGCGGUGAAAUGCGCAGAUAUCAGGAAGAACACCCGUGGCUAAGGCGGCUCUCUAGUACGGUACUGACGCUGAGACGCGAAAGCGUGGGGAGCGAACAGGAUUAGAAACCCUUGUAGUCC
This 292-nucleotide ribosomal RNA is filed under the name uncultured bacterium. RNAcentral's name for it is "partial 16S ribosomal RNA". It matches the Rfam family "Bacterial small subunit ribosomal RNA", at positions 505 to 796 of the family's 1533-position model. The record is from RNAcentral.